CUACGUGCCAGCAGCCGCGGUAAUACGUAGGGGGCAAGCGUUAUCCGGAUUCAUUGGGCGUAAAGCGCUCGUAGGCGGUCUGUUAGGUCGGGAGUUAGAUCCGGGGGCUCAACCCCCGUUCGCUCCCGAUACCGGCAGACUUGAGUUUGGUAGGGGAAGGUGGAAUUCCUAGUGUAGCGGUGGAAUGCGCAGAUAUUAGGAAGAACACCAGUGGCGAAGGCGGCCUUCUGGGCCAUAACUGACGCUGAGGAGCGAAAGCUAGGGGAGCAAACAGGAUUAGAUACCCUGGUAGUCCUAGCCGUAAACGAUGGACACUAGGUGUGGGGGAGUAUUUCUUCCGUGCCGCAGCUAACGCAUUAAGUGUCCCGCCUGGGGAGUACGGCCGCAAGGCUAAAACUCAAAGGAAUUGACGGGGGCCCGCACAAGCAGCGGAGCAUGUGGUUUAAUUCGAAGCAACGCGAAGAACCUUACCAGGGCUA
This 479-nucleotide ribosomal RNA is filed under the name uncultured bacterium. RNAcentral describes it as "bacterial SSU rRNA". It matches the Rfam family "Bacterial small subunit ribosomal RNA", at positions 501 to 982 of the family's 1533-position model. The record is from RNAcentral.